Molecule: long non-coding RNA, 685 nt
Filed under: Piliocolobus tephrosceles (Ugandan red Colobus)
Lineage: Eukaryota; Metazoa; Chordata; Mammalia; Primates; Cercopithecidae
Description: lncRNA (ENSPTEG00000032933.1)
Source: RNAcentral
CAUUAUUGACAUCCUUAAGAUUCAAAUUAUUUUGCUUUAACCUAGGUUUUUUUUUCCUUUCUCGGUGAAGUUAGUAGACCCUUGCUUAUUGAUUGGUAUAUGAAAUUGGAUCAUUUUAUUGUUGUGAGAGGUUCUCUUUUAUUGAGUAUCAGAAUAUCACUUUCAUACAUUUUUUGGAGCUAAUUUUGAGGGUUUUGCUUGUGUUUUGUGAAAUACUAUCUGUAGUCAUCUAAUGAAACAAUGCUGUUUUUCUAUUACAAAGCUUUCUGUUCACGUGUCUACAUUGGAAGUUACUGCAUUCAGAAUGAAAGCCAUACAUCUGACCUCAAGAUGAGGAAAAUGGAAGAAGCAGAGAUACUUUUAGUGAAACAGAAUAAACCACUGAACAGGAAAAAUGAGGAAGCCGUGAGUACCAGUGGAAGGAACGAGCCAGGAAGAGGGACUGGAACCGUCUCAGAAGCCGUUCCCCUCAGCCUGGAACUUGCCCUGUCUCCUCGCAGAUGAGUCUCUUCUUACCGCCAGCUACCUCUUGUGUUUAAGAAUUUAAGGAAGAUGAGCUAGGAAUCAAGAAAUACCCAGAACUGAUUCCUGUCACUGGCCCCACCCUGCCACUUGCCCAGAGCUGUGGUAUAAAUUUUUUUAAUAGGCUGAAAUAAAGAUAUGAAUAGUAUUUUGGUAUUAAGCA